GGGCCCGCACAAGCGGUGGAGCAUGUGGUUUAAUUCGAUGAUACGCGAGGAACCUUACCAGGACUUAAAUGUAAGUUGCAUGAUUCAGAAAUGAAUCUUUCUUCGGACUACUUACAAGGUGCUGCAUGGUUGUCGUCAGCUCGUGCCGUGAGGUGUCAGGUUAAGUCCUAUAACGAGCGCAACCCCUAUCUUUAGUUGCUAGCAGGUAAUGCUGAGGACUCUAAAGAAACUGCCUACGCAAGUAGUGAGGAAGGCGGGGACGACGUCAAGUCAUCACGGCCCUUACGUCCUGGGCCACACACGUGCUACAAUGGUAGAUACAGAGGGCAGCUACCCCGCGAGGGGAUGCGAAUCUCGAAAGUCUAUCUCAGUUCGGAUUGGAGUCUGCAACUCGACUCUAUGAAGCUGGAAUCGCUAGUAAUCGCGCAU
RNAcentral lists this ribosomal RNA (429 nucleotides) under uncultured bacterium. Its description in RNAcentral is "bacterial SSU rRNA". It matches the Rfam family "Bacterial small subunit ribosomal RNA", at positions 917 to 1349 of the family's 1533-position model. The record is from RNAcentral.